This is a non-coding RNA of Paramisgurnus dabryanus, 888 nucleotides long. The record is from RefSeq and is a predicted model, not a curated record. NCBI's taxonomy places the organism in Eukaryota, Metazoa, Chordata, Actinopteri, Cypriniformes, Cobitidae.
UUAUAUAUCUACAAGUGUGUUUACUAAAUACAUGUAUUAUUAUGCUAAUGUAAUUUAAUUGAUAAAGGUUUUUUUUAUUUAAGAAAAUCUGAGCAUCACUCAAAAUAACUGUCAACAUGUUUGUCAACUAAACAUGUUUUGUAAACGUUAUACAUUUUAUAAAAAUAUUUAAUAUUUUUAUUAUUGAUAAAGUAUAAAGAACAAAUCAGUGUGAAAACGCAGAUUAUAAAAAGUACAUAAAGUGCCAGCAGAGGAUCCAAAAUAAUGAAAAAAAAAAAAAACAUCCAAUGCAACUUGGAAAUUGUAGUCAAAAUACAUCUACAGCAGCAUGCUAAAGCAGUACCAACGCCAGGGCAAAAGACUCAAAUUCCCAGAAUGCACCUGCACCCACCCAUUCAUUCCCACCAAUCAGGAUCAACGGCAUUUUUCAAACCGCUACUGACUCGUUUUCAUGCUAAACAGUACGGCUGAGAGGUCAUGUACCAUGUGGUCGACCUUGCUGACGCUGAAGAGGUUUCUGUGUAAAAAUGAUGACAUUGAGACAAACAGACCAGUUCUGGCUGCCGUGGAGGUCAACACACCACUGAUCUACUGGCUGCCCUUCAACGUGAUGCCCAGCCGAUGCCUGACCACCGACGGAACUAGGGCUGCACGAUAAGUCGCAUGUGUUUGUCAGGCGCAUCUCCUCAGUAAUGCCGGUUCCUUGAUUAGUAUUAAAUCGCCAUCAGCUGUUUUCAGAUGUAGCAGCUUUAACUACACAGAGCCGUAGUUCACUGACAAUCGGGGCAAUUUCGCAUUAAUUAUCGCGGACGUAUCGGCUGCGAUAUGUAUGCGAUAUGGCCCAGCUUGUCAGGGAACUACGGCUCUGUAGUUAAAGCUGCUCCAUCU